This 195-nucleotide ribosomal RNA is filed under the name uncultured Roseateles sp. RNAcentral describes it as "partial 16S ribosomal RNA". It matches the Rfam family "Bacterial small subunit ribosomal RNA", at positions 337 to 524 of the family's 1533-position model. Lineage: Bacteria; Pseudomonadati; Pseudomonadota; Betaproteobacteria; Burkholderiales; Sphaerotilaceae. The record is from RNAcentral.
UCCUACGGGAGGCAGCAGUGGGGAAUYUUGGACAAUGGGCGCAAGCCUGAUCCAGCCAUGCCGCGUGCGGGAAGAAGGCCUUCGGGUUGUAAACCGCUUUUGUCAGGGAAGAAAAGGUUCUGGUUAAUACCUGGGACUCAUGACGGUACCUGAAGAAUAAACACCGGCUWACUACGUGCCAGCAGCCGCGGUAAU